RNAcentral lists this ribosomal RNA (253 nucleotides) under uncultured bacterium. RNAcentral's name for it is "partial 16S ribosomal RNA". It matches the Rfam family "Bacterial small subunit ribosomal RNA", at positions 524 to 776 of the family's 1533-position model. The record is from RNAcentral.
UACGAAGGGGGCUAGCGUUGCUCGGAGUCACUGGGCGUAAAGCGCACGUAGGCGGAUUUUUAAGUCAGGGGUGAAAUCCUGGAGCUCAACUCCAGAACUGCCUUUGAUACUGGGAAUCUCGAGUCCGGGAGAGGUGAGUGGAACUGCGAGUGUAGAGGUGAAAUUCGUAGAUAUUCGCAAGAACACCAGUGGCGAAGGCGGCUCACUGGCCCGGUACUGACGCUGAGGUGCGAAAGCGUGGGGAGCAAACAGG